UAGGGAAUCUUCGGCAAUGGGGGGAACCCUGACCGAGCAACGCCGCGUGAGUGAAGAAGGUUUUCGGAUCGUAAAGCUCUGUUGUUAAGGAAGAACGAGUGUGAGAAUGGAAAGUUCAUACUGUGACGGUACUUAACCAGAAAGGGACGGCUAACUACGUGCCAGCAGCCGCGGUAAUACGUAGGUCCCGAGCGUUGUCCGGAUUUAUUGGGCGUAAAGCGAGCGCAGGCGGUUAGAUAAGUCUGAAGUUAAAGGCAGUGGCUCAACCAUUGUAGGCUUUGGAAACUGUUUAACUUGAGUGCAGAAGGGGAGAGUGGAAUUCCAUGUGUAGCGGUGAAAUGCGUAGAUAUAUGGAGGAACACCGGUGGCGAAAGCGGCUCUCUGGUCUAUAACUGACGCUGAGGCUCGAAAGCGUGGGGAGCGAACAGG
RNAcentral lists this ribosomal RNA (429 nucleotides) under Bacteroidota bacterium. Its description in RNAcentral is "Bacteroidetes bacterium partial 16S ribosomal RNA". It matches the Rfam family "Bacterial small subunit ribosomal RNA", at positions 355 to 776 of the family's 1533-position model. Lineage: Bacteria; Pseudomonadati; Bacteroidota. The record is from RNAcentral.